Mirounga angustirostris (Northern elephant seal) is the source of this 1508-nucleotide long non-coding RNA. RefSeq lists it as uncharacterized. The transcript is spliced from 3 exons. Lineage: Eukaryota; Metazoa; Chordata; Mammalia; Carnivora; Phocidae. The record is from RefSeq and is a predicted model, not a curated record.
GCUUAGCUGCCUAUAAAGCUGUAACAGUUUAGCCCGUGGCCACUGAGAGAAGAAUAUAAGUUAACCUCUGUAGUGACCAUGGGGAAGUCCUGACCUUCCUUGCAGACUUGACCUCUGGAUAUGACAAGGUGGCUUCACUACAGAUCUACCAAUUAAUCCUGGAAACUAAAAACCAAAAACAAAUCAAAAAAAAAAAAAAAAAAAACCAAAAAAACAACUUCACAGCAAGAAAGAUACAGAAUAUUUCCUGAGAAGUCAGAAGAACCUAAUGUAUUCUGGUGGGCAAAAGAAAAUAGGGUGAAUGUUUACAGUUACUUGGGGGGAGUGAGGUGGGGUUCUGUGUUCACUGAUACGGCCCUUUGCUUCCCUCGGCUCAUGGAAAGAAGUGCUGAAUCAGCGAAUAGAGUGAAGGACCGAUCAAGAGGAGAUGGCAGCUGCUGAUGUGACUCUCUAGGUCAUUAUCUCUCUUCCUCCUGCAAAAGCUGCAUGGCACUAAACUUACAGGAUCUAGAAGCAAACUACAAAAUAAGAAGAAAUUCCUCUGAAGACAAUGAAGAAACACUAGGCUGAUCUUACCAAUUUCUGAAAUAUACUCUGUAAAACCUCCACUGAUUCUAUGAAUCUCUUGCAAAAACAACCAGACCAGGACAAAGUUCAACAGAUAACUGGUUAGUGUUUAGACGUAUCUAUGUCCACCAAGAACAAGGAGCCAUGAAUGGCACUAAUGCCAUGCUUCAGGUAAAUCUAUUAUAGUUUAGUCUUUGAUAGUCUCUGCCAAUGAUCUACCACUACUCUGUAUCAGUAAACUAAAUGUUUUACUAACAAAUGGGAAAAUAAAACAUUUCAUGUUUUUACAGCUAACAACUUAGUAAAACCUACUCAGAGUACAUACUUCUUUAUGUACCCAUAUGAACAUACAAUGCUAUGGAAUGUAAAGAAGUAUGUAUUUUUGGUAGGCAAUAAACUGCCAGGAGGGAACUACACUGCAGCUAAAAGAAGCUCUUGCUUCUUUCUAUGUGAAUGACCUUCAUAUGGUAAAUUAACCUAGUAUCAAAGAGAUGACCUUUGGCAAUACUAACACCAUAAAAAUGUACCUACUACUUUUAGAUGGAAACUAAAUGCUGUGAAGAUUUCUACUUUGUGAAGAAUCAACCAAGGAGAUUUAAAAUUAUCAAGAAACUCCUUUUACAUCUUCUAAGUUUAAAAUGUACUAUGUUUUACAUUUUUAAAUUAAGUAUUCACAUGAUUAAAAUUUGAAUACUGAAAAGAAAUCAGUAUUACUAGAACAAAAGAGUGAGGGAUACACAUGACCUAUUUUCUGUCUCCACAAUAUGAUCUUAAUUGAAGUAUAUAUCAUAUUAGUAGGAUUAACUGAUUUGUUAAGAAUAACAAGGUAUAACAAAAGCUGAUGUCAUUACAUUUUAGCAAUUGUUCUUGAUAGUUUGAUAAAUUUAUAGUCUACUAAUAUUAGAGGAAUUUCUGAACAAGUUUUGUUGUUUUAAGCUUUC